UACGGGGGGAGCAAGCGUUGUUCGGAUUUAUUGGGCGUAAAGGGCGCGUAGGCGGUCGUGACAAGUCACUUGUGAAAUCUCCGGGCUUAACUCGGAACGGUCAAGUGAUACUGUCGGACUAGAGUACAGAAGGGGCAACUGGAAUUCCUGGUGUAGCGGUGAAAUGCGUAGAGAUCAGGAGGAACACCCAUGGCGAAGGCAGCUCUCUGGCCUCACCCUGACGCUGAGGCGCGAAAGCGUGGGGAGCGAACGGG
RNAcentral lists this ribosomal RNA (254 nucleotides) under uncultured bacterium. RNAcentral's name for it is "partial 16S ribosomal RNA". It matches the Rfam family "Bacterial small subunit ribosomal RNA", at positions 524 to 776 of the family's 1533-position model. The record is from RNAcentral.